CAUCGAUUAGGUUUCAUGUGAAGCUUUUAGGCCAGGGGCAACUUCCCGGAGGGCAGGGAAGGAAAGGAGGGAAGACCGGGGCGUUUGGGAUAGGUAGGGUUAGGCUUAGGUAGGAGAGAAUCCUAGGAUUCUGCUUAUUGCGGUGGAAGGGGAGAUGCAGAGUCCGGACACAGCGGAGAGGAUGAUAAAAUAAAGGAAUGGGAGAAUUCAGAACAGUCUAGGCACUGAGUUCCUUGGAGUGCCCUGGGAGAAAAAAACAACAUGCCUGAAUUGGGCAUAACUGCACCACAAGUGAAAUUAAGAGAAUGAAAGGGAUUCAGACAAAAGAUCAGGUCUGGACAGGAGAACUGCUAUCUUCUUUGUGUCAAAGGUUCACAAGCCAACCCAAGGCUUUUUUGGUACCCAAGGCAGUGAAUGAAUUUAGCACAUACCCUAUUCAAUAUUGUGUAUUUCCCCAGUGAAGAUCAACCAGCUGCUGACAUUAUUGGGUCUUGGACAGAAAUUAAAACCUUUUUGUGUUUUUGUAUAUGCACUGACUGUUAAAUUAUUAACAAGGUAACAUGCUAAUUUAACGUAUCCAUAUUAAGUAUGAAUAACUUUUAUUCACAGCAUAUGGUGGGUUUGAUUUCUGUGUAAGAUUUAUUCAUGUUUGUAGNUGAUUUGAGUUGUUUGUUGUUGUACACUGUUCUCUGCUUAACAAACAGCAGUAUAAACAUCUUUUAAACAGAUAAGUAUGCUUCUAUGAUUCUAUGAUAAAAAGAGGAAUUAACUUCCCUUGAUACUGAAAUAAGACUAAUCAAAACCAUACAGCCUGGUUGUAGAAUUUGCCUGCUUGGAUUUAAGGUAGGUAGUACAUGCAUACAUACACUUUCCUGAUUUGCUAUUAAGAGCAAAGCUCCUUGGACUGAAGAGGAAGAAAAACAAUGUUUCAGAAUGUCCAGUAGAAAGCAGAUAGUCUGCUGUCCUUUGGACCGUUUUGCAGUUUCUCCC
This 990-nucleotide long non-coding RNA is filed under the name Salvator merianae (Argentine black and white tegu). Its description in RNAcentral is "lncRNA (ENSSMRG00000004650.1)". Lineage: Eukaryota; Metazoa; Chordata; Lepidosauria; Squamata; Teiidae. The record is from RNAcentral.